UGUAUUUGUGGGAAGCAUGUUGAAAUGAUGAUAGCAAAUAAUGUGCGUAUCUGACUUGGAGAUGCAGAUAUAAUUGCUUCAGCGAUUGUCGUGUCCCAAUGAGUAUCGUUUUCAAGCAAAUUUAGCUCUUGGCUCUUGAAAUGUGGGGCACACGAUACCAUUAACAGUUCGCAGUGAUUCAAAUGAUGUUGGCCCUCGAACAUGUACCAGCAACAACCGCAAAUAGAAACAUUCUUCGGAUGAACUGUGUAAAUACGACCAAGAGCAUCAGUAGAACGCAUAUCUGGAUGACCAGGAACUGCAUCGUCUUGCUUCCGACGUUGAAAUUUCUUCGAUGUAGCGUUACAAGUGUAAUAACGUGGCAUUUCUGAGUAAAGAAAAGUUCGUGCGAACGGAUCGCUUUGACAAAUCGCAAAGAAACUGGUCAGUGUUGUCGCUGGAGGUGUUUCGGGGAAUGAAAAUAUACGCCAAAGUGCUUCAUUUCAGUUCACAUUUCUACCAACUUGAUAGCGAGUGAUUUCAUCGUUGGUAUUGGAUGUAACAAAUAAAUAAAACAAAUAUUAAAUAUGAUUAAACAAAU
Molecule: long non-coding RNA, 580 nt
Filed under: Drosophila guanche
Lineage: Eukaryota; Metazoa; Arthropoda; Insecta; Diptera; Drosophilidae
Source: RNAcentral